RNAcentral lists this unclassified non-coding RNA (373 nucleotides) under soil metagenome. RNAcentral describes it as "partial contains 5.8S ribosomal RNA, internal transcribed spacer 2, and large subunit ribosomal RNA". The stretch from base 1 to 121 matches the Rfam family "5.8S ribosomal RNA", at positions 35 to 154 of the family's 154-position model. The record is from RNAcentral.
GAUGAAGAACGUAGCGAAAUGCGAUAAGUAAUGCGAAUUGCAGAAUUCCAGUGAGUCAUCGAAUCUUUGAACGCACAUUGCGCCCUUUGGUAUUCCGAAGGGCAUGCCUGUUCGAGCGUCAUUAUCACCCCUCAAGCCCUCGGCUUGGUGUUGGAAGGUUUGGUGGAGGCCCCCUCGGGGGCUCCUGCCCCUCCCAAAGACAAUGACGGCGGCCUCGUUGGACCCCCGGUACACUGAGUUCUUCACGGGACACGUAUCGGACACAUGGGUUUACGGGACACGGUCUGCCUCCCCUCAGGGAGAAUCUUUCUAAGGUUGACCUCGGAUCAGGUAGGGAUACCCGCUGAACUUAAGCAUAUCAAUAAGCGGAGGA